CACUGAUGGAUGCCUGGGCUGCUCCCAGCUUCUGGCCAUUGUGAAUGAAAUGGCAGCUGCCUCUGUGGACGUGUGCCAAGCACGCGCUCCCACCUCUCUUGGGCACCCUGAGCCAAGCACUGCAGCUCUGCUUGCCCUGAAGCCUCUGGUCAACAGCCCAGCACACAGCUGCAGAGUGUCCUGGCUCUCGCGAAGUUGACAGGGCCACCUCACCAUUUACCCUGCCCACCGUGCUUGAGAAACACAACACUGAGUUCCACAAAGCCAUUCUGGGGUCUUAGGUCUACAGAUAGCUUUUGGUAAAUUCAACAGUUUUAUGAGAGUAACUCUUCCUGUAUUUGAACAGGACUUGUGGUUCAGGUCUUUUAGAAUGCUUUUCAUCAGCAAAGUUCCAUAGUUUUUCAUGAUAGGUCCUAUACAACUUUUGUUAGAUCUGUCCAAGAAUACCGCAGAACUUUUGGCGCUAUUAUAAAUCCUGGCUUUAUGUAAACUACUGUUUCUAAUUAUAGAUGGUUAGAGAAAAAUGAGGAAGUUCUGUACUGAUCUCACACAGCCAGCCCUUGCUAGAUCCCUGUUUACAUUUACUAUGCAGACAACUGGGCCACCCAUGGAGGUGAGUUUUAUUUCCUUUUCUCCACUCCCUCUGCCUCCCAUUCUCCUUCCUGUUUGACUGUAUGCAUGCUUCACACCUGCCCAUGGCAGGCAGCGGCUCCUGACAGAAUGCUCCGGCCACUUCUCCUCUGAGUGAAUCACUUUAUCAAGUUAGAGUCUUUCCUUACUCUUCAGUAUUGCAGUCUAUUGCCAGUUUACCAAUUUCCUUAUUAUAGUAGCGUCCCAACUUACAAACAUUCAAGUUGUGAACUUUCACAGAUACGAACGGACCGCGGAUUAGGAACACUGGCAGAUGUGAACAAAUCGUGGAAGUGCUGUACCACCAUUCUAAGGCAGGAAAACACCUUUGUGACGUGGCAGUAUGCAGCUUCCCGUGGAGAGGACUCAUGGCUACUACUCGAUGGCUCUAGCAGUUUCCCACCACUCAGCCUUGUUAUUUUCCCUUGGGUUGAUUUAUUUUGUAC
This 1076-nucleotide long non-coding RNA is filed under the name Heterocephalus glaber (naked mole-rat). Its description in RNAcentral is "lncRNA (ENSHGLG00000037351.1)". Lineage: Eukaryota; Metazoa; Chordata; Mammalia; Rodentia; Bathyergidae. The record is from RNAcentral.